This is a long non-coding RNA of Scatophagus argus, 477 nucleotides long. RefSeq lists it as uncharacterized. The record is from RefSeq and is a predicted model, not a curated record. The transcript is spliced from 4 exons. NCBI's taxonomy places the organism in Eukaryota, Metazoa, Chordata, Actinopteri, Scatophagidae.
GUUAACACUUAGAUGGUGGCUUGUUUGGCUGCAAUUCCCAUUAAUGCCCACCUGGGCAUGACACUGUCCAGGAAGUCACAGCUUACAGGAAGUUAAAUACUUUUUUGGCAUCUUUAAACCUCUUUCACUCAAAGAACUGGAUAGCCUGAACAUGUCUCCUAACACCACAGCAGGUGGAGUUUGCCCAGUUCACGUCACAUGAGAUCAAAAUUGGUCAGGAAGGCACCAGAGUUAUGCACCAGGACCAGACAAAAAAGAUGCUGCCCAUAACCGGACAAGAGCUCUAGGAUCAUAACUGUGAGGACGAUCAUGAGAUGCAGUUUAAAUCGUCUAAGAAACCUGAUGAGGAACUGGAGGUGUGCGGAAGAGGAUUUCCACAUCUUUCCUUGGUUUGUGGAAUUAAAGUGGUGAAUAAUACAUGGCUGAAAGCAUCCGUCUCUCUGAGUUGCCUCUUUUGGACACCAGGGGAUCUGAAGG